AAUCGCAGAUCAGCAUGCUGCGGUGAAUACGUUCCCGGGCCUUGUACACACCGCCCGUCACACCAUGGGAGUCGGUAACACCCGAAGUCGGUAGCCUAACCGUAAGGAGGGCGCCGCCGAAGGUGGGAUUGAUGACUGGGGUGAAGUCGUAACAAGGUAGC
Molecule: ribosomal RNA, 161 nt
Filed under: uncultured bacterium
Lineage: Bacteria
Description: partial 16S ribosomal RNA
Rfam family: Bacterial small subunit ribosomal RNA
Source: RNAcentral